RNAcentral lists this ribosomal RNA (131 nucleotides) under Bacillus cereus. RNAcentral's name for it is "partial 23S ribosomal RNA". It matches the Rfam family "Bacterial large subunit ribosomal RNA", at positions 2795 to 2925 of the family's 2925-position model. The record is from RNAcentral. RNAcentral also lists the same sequence under 2 other names. Lineage: Bacteria; Bacillati; Bacillota; Bacilli; Caryophanales; Bacillaceae.
CCCCUCAAGAUGAGAUUUCCCAUAGCGUAAGCUAGUAAGAUCCCUGAAAGAUGAUCAGGUUGAUAGGUUCGAGGUGGAAGCAUGGUGACAUGUGGAGCUGACGAAUACUAAUAGAUCGAGGACUUAACCAU